AAGCUCAGAGUAAACAGAUUUGGUUCUGUUGGGCGCCAGGUCAUUAGAGCUGCUUUCACUACCAGCAAAGUGGACCUAAGUUGCCAUCAAUGACUCCUCCAUUGACCUUGACCUCAUAGCCUACAUGGUCCAAUAUGAAUCCAUCACGGCAAGUUCAAGGGCAGCAACAAGGUUGAGAACAGAAAGCUAUGAUCAGUGGGAAGUCCACCUCCAUCUGCCAGACACCAGAUCCCAAAGAGGGCAUUGCUGCCUUCAUCACCCUAGAGAUGCUUGGAGCUCAUCUGAAGAAUGGCAUCAAAGGGGCAUCAUUCUGUCCCUUGUGCUGAUGGUCUGUGUUUGAGAUGAGGGUGACCUACUCCCUUUAGAUUUCCAGCAUGCCAUCUGCUUGUUCCCCCAGAAGGGUCUAUGACAACCAUGGCAUCAUAAAAGUACUCAUGACCACUGCCUGUGCCCUCUCUGCCCAUCUGGCAAGCUGUGGUGCGAUGGCCAUGGGACUGUUCAGAGUGUAUUCAGUGGCACUGCCAAGGCUGUGGCAAGGUCAUUCCUGAGCUGAACAGGAAGCUUGCUGACACAGCCUCCUAUGUCCCCACCCUCAGUGUGUCUGUCCAGGAUCUGACCUGCCAUCUAGAAAAAGCUGUUGAGCACAGUGACAUCAAGAAAAUGUGAUGCGGGCACCUGGGGGGUCAUUGAAAGAAAUUCCGGGCUACACUGAAGACCACGUUGUCGCUUGCAACUGUAACAGUGAUGCCCACUUCUCCACCUGUCACACUGGGGCUGGCAUUGCCCACAACCACCAGUUGGUCAAGCCUACUUCCUGGUACUGUGAUGAUGUUUGGCUACAACAACUGCAGGGUGGACUUCCUGGUCCACAUGACCUCUGAGGACUAAGGGCU
RNAcentral lists this long non-coding RNA (893 nucleotides) under Homo sapiens (human). RNAcentral describes it as "non-protein coding lnc-SLC2A10-8:1". The record is from RNAcentral. Lineage: Eukaryota; Metazoa; Chordata; Mammalia; Primates; Hominidae.